AGUGAACGCUGGCGGUAGGCCUAACACAUGCAAGUCGAACGGCAGCACAGUAAGAGCUUGCUCUUACGGGUGGCGAGUGGCGGACGGAUGAGGAAUACAUCGGAAUCUACUUUUUCGUGGGGGAUAACGUAGGGAAACUUACGCUAAUACCGCAUACGACCUACGGGUGAAAGCAGGGGAUCUUCGGACCUUGCGCGAUUGAAUGAGCCGAUGUCGGAUUAGCUAGUUGGCGGGGUAAAGGCCCACCAAGGCGACGAUCCGUAGCUGGUCUGAGAGGAUGAUCAGCCACACUGGAACUGAGACACGGUCCAGACUCCUACGGGAGGCUGCAGUGGGGAAUAUUGGACAAUGGGCGCAAGCCUGAUCCAGCCAUACCGCGUGGGUGAAGAAGGCCUUCGGGUUGUAAAGCCCUUUUGUUGGGAAAGAAAAGCAGCAGGUUAAUACCCCGCUGUUCUGACGGUACCCAAAGAAUAAGCACCGGCUAACUUCGUG
RNAcentral lists this ribosomal RNA (492 nucleotides) under uncultured bacterium. RNAcentral describes it as "partial 16S ribosomal RNA". It matches the Rfam family "Bacterial small subunit ribosomal RNA", at positions 29 to 507 of the family's 1533-position model. The record is from RNAcentral.